This 424-nucleotide ribosomal RNA is filed under the name uncultured prokaryote. RNAcentral describes it as "bacterial SSU rRNA". It matches the Rfam family "Bacterial small subunit ribosomal RNA", at positions 355 to 796 of the family's 1533-position model. The record is from RNAcentral.
UGGGGAAUAUUGGACAAUGGGCGAAAGCCUGAUCCAGCCAUGCCGCGUGAGUGAAGAAGGCCCUAGGGUUGUAAAGCUCUUUCAGCGGGGAAGAUAAUGACGGUACCCGCAGAAGAAGCCCCGGCUAACUUCGUGCCAGCAGCCGCGGUAAUACGAAGGGGGCUAGCGUUGUUCGGAUUUACUGGGCGUAAAGCGCGCGUAGGCGGAUUGUUAAGUCAGAGGUGAAAUCCCGGGGCUCAACCUCGGAACUGCCUUUGAUACUGGCAAUCUGGAGUUCGGGAGAGGUGAGUGGAAUUCCGAGUGUAGAGGUGAAAUUCGUAGAUAUUCGGAGGAACACCAGAAGCGAAGGCGGCUCACUGGCCCGAUACUGACGCUGAGGCGCGAAAGCGUGGGGAGCAAACAGGAUUAGAUACCCCCGUAGUCC